Molecule: ribosomal RNA, 1951 nt
Filed under: human gut metagenome
Description: bacterial LSU rRNA
Rfam family: Bacterial large subunit ribosomal RNA
Source: RNAcentral
CGACGCUCUUCCGAUCUGGGUGGAUGCCUUGGCACUAAGAGCCGAUGAAAGACGUGAUAAGCUGCGAAAAGCUGCGGGGAGGAGCAAAUAUCCACUGAUCCGCAGAUGUCUGAAUGGGGAAACCCGCAUGAGCACACCUCAUGCAUCCAUACGCCAAUCCAUAACGUAUGGAGGGGAACCGCCUGAACUGAAACAUCUAAGUAGGGCGAGGAAGAGAAAGAAAAUUUAUCGAUUUCCAAAGUAGCGGCGAGCGAAAUGGAAAGAGGCCAAACCGGAGUGCGUGCACUCCGGGGUUCGGACCGCAUUUAAGAUCUGAUGAUCCUAGCAGAAAGGUUUUGGGAAAGCCUGCCGGAGAGGGUGAAAGCCCCGUAAGCGAAAGGAAAGCCAGCUGAGCGGUAUCCAGAGUACAUCGAGACACGAGAAACCUUGAUGGAAUGAGCGGGGACCACCCCGUAAGCCUAAAUACUCCUUAGUGACCGAUAGCGCAUAGUACUGUGAAGGAAAGGUGAAAAGGACCCCGGGAGGGGAGUGAAAGAGAACCUGAAACCCUGUGUUUACAAGCUGUGGGACAUCUUUACAUGAUGAACCGCGUACUUUUUGUAGAACGGUCCGGCGAGUUGCGGAUGCCGGCAAGGUUAAGCACUUAAGGUGUGGAGCCGAAGGGAAACCAAGUCUGAAGAGGGCGUAUAUAGUCAGUAUCCGCAGACCCGAAACCGGGUGAUCUACCCAUGUCCAGGUUGAAGUUGCCGUAAAAGGCAAUGGAGGACCGAACGCACAUCCGUUGAAAAGGGUGGCGAUGAGGUGUGGGUAGGGGAGAAAUUCCAAUCGAACCCGGAGAUAGCUGGUUCUCCUCGAAAUAGCUUUAGGGCUAGCCUCGUUUUAGUCUUAUGGAGGUAGAGCACUGAAUUUCCGCGGGGGCGUCAAAGCUUACCAAAGAAUAUCAAACUCCGAAUGCCAUGUAGAUGAUGAACGGGAGUCAGACUGCACGAGAUAAGUUGGGCAGUCAAAAGGGAAAGAGCCCAGACCGCCAGCUAAGGUCCCAAAGUGUGUGUUAAGUGGAAAAGGAUGUGGGAUCUCCAAGACAACUAGGAUGUUGGCUCAGAAGCAGCCACACAUUCAAAGAGUGCGUAACAGCUCACUAGUCGAGAGGUCCUGCGCCGAAAAUGUCCGGGGCUGAAACACAACACCGAAGCUGCGGAAUUGCGAAUGCAAUUGGUAGAGGAGCAUUCUUAAUACCGACGAAGCUGUACCGGAAGGAGCAGUGGAGGGAUAAGAAGAGAGAAUGCCGGAAUGAGUAGCGAGAGAGAGGUGGGAAUCCUCUCGGCCGAAUAUCCAAGGUUUCCAGAGUAAAGCUGAUCUGCUCUGGGUAAGUCGGGGCCUAAGGCGAGGUCAAAAGACGUAGCCGAUGGACAACAGGUUUAGAUUCCUGUACCGCAUAUAAACAGAACUGUGGGGACGCAUGGGGAGAGCAUGGGCCGGGAAUGGAAAUACCGGUGCAAGCGAAGGAGGUGUGCAGCCGGCAAAUCCGCUGCAUGAGCCGAAAGCGUGACGCGGAGCGAAAUGAAAGUAGCGAAGCAUGUGAGCCCUGUGCCGAGAAAAGCCGCUAUAGCUUUAUAUGUGCCCGUACCGUAAACCGACACAGGUGGAUGAGGAGAGAAUCCUAAGGCCGGCGGAAGAAGUAUUGUUAAGGAACUCGGCAAAAUGACCCCGUAACUUCGGGAGAAGGGGUGCCCACGGGAGUGGGCCGCAGAGAAUAGGCUCAAGCAACUGUUUAGCAAAAACACAGGUCUAUGCGAAACCGAAAGGUGAAGUAUAUGGGCUGACGCCUGCCCGGUGCUGGAAGGUUAAGAGGAGAGGUUAGCGCAAGCGAAGCUUUGAAUUUAAGCCCCAGUAAACGGCGGCCGUAACUAUAACGGUCCUAAGGUAGCGAAAUUCCUUGUCGGGUAAGUUC